This 1107-nucleotide ribosomal RNA is filed under the name Candidatus Phytoplasma trifolii. Its description in RNAcentral is "bacterial SSU rRNA". It matches the Rfam family "Bacterial small subunit ribosomal RNA", at positions 215 to 1327 of the family's 1533-position model. Lineage: Bacteria; Bacillati; Mycoplasmatota; Mollicutes; Acholeplasmatales; Acholeplasmataceae. The record is from RNAcentral.
AUGCUUAAAGAGGGGCUUGCGCCACAUUAGUUAGUUGGUAGAGUAAAAGCCUACCAAGACGAUGAUGUGUAGCUGGACUGAGAGGUUGAACAGCCACAUUGGGACUGAGACACGGCCCAAACUCCUACGGGAGGCAGCAGUAGGGAAUUUUCGGCAAUGGAGGAAACUCUGACCGAGCAACGCCGCGUGAACGAUGAAGUAUUUCGGUAUGUAAAGUUCUUUUAUUGAAGAAGAAAAAGUAGUGGAAAAACUAUAUUGACGUUAUUCAAUGAAUAAGCCCCGGCUAACUAUGUGCCAGCAGCCGCGGUAAGACAUAGGGGGCGAGCGUUAUCCGGGAAUUAUUGGGCGUAAAGGGUGCGUAGGCUGUUAGAUAAGUCUAUAAUUUAAUUUCAGUGCUUAACGCUGUCUUGUUAUAGAAACUGUCUUGACUAGAGUGAGAUAGAGGCAAGCGGAAUUCCAUGUGUAGCGGUAAAAUGUGUAAAUAUAUGGAGGAACACCAGAAGCGUAGGCGGCUUGCUGGGUCUUUACUGACGCUGAGGCACGAAAGCGUGGGUAGCAAACAGGAUUAGAUACCCUGGUAGUCCACGCCGUAAACGAUGAGUACUAAGUGUCGGGGUAAAACUCGGUACUGAAGUUAACACAUUAAGUACUCCGCCUGAGUAGUACGUACGCAAGUAUGAAACUUAAAGGAAUUGACGGGACUCCGCACAAGCGGUGGAUCAUGUUGUUUAAUUCGAAGAUACACGAAAAAUCUUACCAGGUCUUGACAUACUCUGCAAAGCUAUAGAAAUAUAGUGGAGGUUAUCAGGGAUACAGGUGGUGCAUGGUUGUCGUCAGUUCGUGUCGUGAGAUGUUAGGUUAAGUCCUAAAACGAACGCAACCCUUGUCGUUAAUUGCCAGCACAUAAUGGUGGGGACUUUAACGAGACUGCCAAUUAAACAUUGGAGGAAGGUGAGGAUUACGUCAAAUCAUCAUGCCCCUUAUGAUCUGGGCUACAAACGUGAUACAAUGGCUGUGACAAAGAGUAGCUGAAACGCGAGUUUUUAGCCAAUCUCAAAAAAGCAGUCUCAGUUCGGAUUGAAGUCUGUAACUCGACUUCAUGAAGUU